UACAGAGGGGGCAAGCGUUGUCCGGAAUCAUUGGGCGUAAAGGGCGCGUAGGCGGCGACCCAAGUCAGAUGUGAAAGUCCUGGGCUUAACCUGGGGACUGCAUUUGAUACUGGGUUGCUUGAGUUCGGGAGAGGAUAGCGGAAUUCCCAGUGUAGAGGUGAAAUUCGUAGAUAUUGGGAAGAACACCGGUGGCGAAGGCGGCUAUCUGGACCGACAUUGACGCUGAGGCGCGAAAGCGUGGGGAGCAAACAGG
This 253-nucleotide ribosomal RNA is filed under the name uncultured bacterium. Its description in RNAcentral is "partial 16S ribosomal RNA". It matches the Rfam family "Bacterial small subunit ribosomal RNA", at positions 524 to 776 of the family's 1533-position model. The record is from RNAcentral.